This is a long non-coding RNA of Myotis lucifugus (little brown bat), 872 nucleotides long. RefSeq lists it as uncharacterized. The record is from RefSeq and is a predicted model, not a curated record. NCBI's taxonomy places the organism in Eukaryota, Metazoa, Chordata, Mammalia, Chiroptera, Vespertilionidae. The transcript is spliced from 2 exons.
UGAGCACUGUCUGCGUGGCAUUUUGCCAGACACCGGGGACAGGUAAGGCCCUGCUCCCCCGGGACCCACAGAGCUCGGUGAGUUCCAAGCAGCUCACACCCCUUGCCCGGCAGUCCCUGCGCAGCAGCGGUGAUGCUCAGCCUGCCUUUCUCUGCUGCAGGGGCCCACGGCGCCACGGAGCUCACCCCUGGGAGCAGCCCUGGGCCAGUGCCGGGGGCGGGGGGAGUGGGCGGACACCCCCCCAGCUUCCUCACCCCUUGGCGGGACAGCCCUGAGGUACGUUCUGUGCCGUCUCUCAACUGAUGGCCCAGCCUCAGUUGCCCACCGAGGGGACCCACUGCAAACACACCUGCUUUGGCUUCAUUUCCUUCCGUCUCACUGUCCCUCUCCCCUCGGGCAGGUGCUGAGAUUUUACUCAACCUGCAAGCUGACGGGUGAGCCUGCCUUCUCCCCAAGGGCGUGCAGAAGACACAAGACUCCCGGCUCAGAAACAAAGAUCAGUCUAUUGUUCACAGCAGCAGCCGUGCGCGGAGGAUUGUUCCAGUGUCAUUUGCUGGGACUUGUGCCUGGGCUGUCAGUACUCUUCUUCGCUGCCUGGGGCCUGCUCUGGGGAAUGCAUCGCAAACACACCAUCAAUUCACAGUAAAUGGGCCAAAGAACGCAGGGCAUCCCCAUCCCUGGGGAGGUGACACUCCGCUGGCACAGCGUCAGACAAACCCCAACACGCACUUGUGAUGACACCAUUCGGCCCCAGGGCCAUGCGGGGAAGCUGUGAGCUCGCCUCAAAGGUCCCAGAGGAUUUGAAUGUGAACUGAGAAGGUUUUAUUUCUAUAAAAAUAUCUAACCGUUAAUAAAAAUUUCAACAAGUUAAA